RNAcentral lists this ribosomal RNA (476 nucleotides) under Roseovarius sp. HI0049. RNAcentral describes it as "bacterial LSU rRNA". It matches the Rfam family "Bacterial large subunit ribosomal RNA", at positions 1 to 491 of the family's 2925-position model. Lineage: Bacteria; Pseudomonadati; Pseudomonadota; Alphaproteobacteria; Rhodobacterales; Roseobacteraceae. The record is from RNAcentral.
GAUCAAAUCAAGCGCGAGAAGGGCGUUUGGUGGAUGCCUUGGCAGUAAGAGGCGAUGAAGGACGUGAUACUCUGCGAUAAGCCGGGGGGAGCUGAGAAUAAGCUUUGAUCCCUGGAUUUCCGAAUGGGGCAACCCACCUGAAUGUAUGUUAUUAUCUGCUCUGCAGUUAAUAAUGUGCAUAACCAGGUACUUAAGGACUGAAUACAUAGGUCUUUAAGAGCAAACCCGGAGAACUGAAACAUCUAAGUACCCGGAGGAAAGGAAAUCAAUUGAUACUCCCCUAGUAGCGGCGAGCGAACGGGGACCAGCCGAGACCGAUGAGUGAUUGGAACAUGUUGGGAAGCAUGGCCAUAGCGGGUGACAGCCCCGUACAAUAAGCUCUGAGGUACGUAUUAAGUAGGGCGGGACACGUGAAAUCCUGUCUGAAGAUCGGGGGACCACCCUCGAAGGCUAAGUACUCCUUACUGACCGAUAGC